Molecule: ribosomal RNA, 436 nt
Filed under: uncultured bacterium
Lineage: Bacteria
Description: bacterial SSU rRNA
Rfam family: Bacterial small subunit ribosomal RNA
Source: RNAcentral
CUUACGGAAAACUUACAGCCCUUGACAUGUCCCGUACGGGGCCGAGAGAUCGGCCUCAUCAGUUCGGCUGGCGGGAACACAGGUGCUGCAUGGCUGUCGUCAGCUCGUGUCGUGAGAUGUUGGGUUAAGUCCCGCAACGAGCGCAACCCUCACCUUCAGUUGCCAUCAGGUUAAGCUGGGCACUCUGAAGGAACUGCCGGUGACAAGCCGGAGGAAGGCGGGGAUGACGUCAAGUCCUCAUGGCCUUUAUGGGCUGGGCUACACACGUGCUACAAUGGCGGUGACAGAGGGAGGCAAAGGGGCGACCCCUAGCCAAUCUCGAAAAGCCGUCUCAGUUCGGAUUGUUCUCUGCAACUCGAGAGCAUGAAGCUGGAAUCGCUAGUAAUCGCGGAUCAGCACGCCGCGGUGAAUACGUUCCCGGGUCUUGUACACACCG